Molecule: ribosomal RNA, 352 nt
Filed under: uncultured bacterium
Lineage: Bacteria
Description: bacterial SSU rRNA
Rfam family: Bacterial small subunit ribosomal RNA
Source: RNAcentral
GGGCCCGCACAAGCGGUGGAGUAUGUGGUUUAAUUCGAUGCAACGCGAAGAACCUUACCAGGGUUUGACAUCCUGCGAAUCUCUUGGAAACAGGAGAGUGCCUUCGGGAACGCAGUGACAGGUGGUGCAUGGCUGUCGUCAGCUCGUGUCGUGAGAUGUUGGGUUAAGUCCCGCAACGAGCGCAACCCACGUCUUUAGUUGCCAGCAUUUAGUUGGGCACUCUAGAGAGACUGCCGGUGAUAAACCGGAGGAAGGUGUGGAUGACGUCAAGUCAUCAUGCCCCAUUACAUCCUGGGCUACACACGUACUACAAUGCUACGGACAAAGGGCAGCAAGUUCGCGAGGACAAGCA